Molecule: long non-coding RNA, 1189 nt
Organism: Oncorhynchus kisutch (coho salmon)
Lineage: Eukaryota; Metazoa; Chordata; Actinopteri; Salmoniformes; Salmonidae
Exons: 3
Source: RefSeq, a predicted model, not a curated record
CUCAGACACGUUGUUUCCCAACAUUUUACGUGUGAUAUAAAUUAGCUUAUAACUGUCGGGAUUAGAACCCAGGUCUCAGCCAACGUCAUCUCCAUUAGACCAAGAGGGGCAUCACUAAUUUCGAAGUCGCAGGCAAGGCUACCUCAUCACAUGACCAUGAGCAACCAUGACCGACUCAUGUCACAUGUGCAUUUUCACAUUUUAAAGUCAAUUUGGGCUGUCAAACAAUUCAAUAAUGUAAUCGUGUAAUAUCGCAGGAUUGAGCUGUAAUUUCAUUUUUUUUAUAUACAAAAAGCAUUACAAGAAUAUUGACGUCUUGGUUUUGUCCAAAGUAACGAUUAGCAAAAUCAGGAUAAAUAAGGAGACACGGAGCGUUAGCUUCUCUGUUCUUUUCACUGGGCUUCUUCCAACGGUCACUAACGAACAUAUGAAGAGAGGCGUGCACCUGCAGCAGUAACAUUCCGAAUGGAUGGCUCAUCAUUUUUAAUUGAGUUGAAUUAUUACACUCAGGGUGUGGGCUUGACAGAGGGUCAGUGAAGACUGGCAGAAGAGAGAAUAAUCUGUCCAUACAAGAUGGAAAUGGAGAGAAGAGCAAGAUACAUCUUUAGUGAGCCAUGGAGACUUUCCAUGUGUCUCUCACUCUGCUUUUCAGCAUUGUGUUGUUGUUGAUUUGUGGUAGGCCUACUAUGAGUUAGUACAUACUGUAGUACUGACAUAGACAGCACAUUUAUUGUGAUAGAACAUUAUUACUGCAUUUGAAAUAGUAUUAUUAUUAGGCUAUGUUGCCAGUUUGAGCCCAAGUAACCACACAUUUGGCACUAUAUGUUGUCCAUUCAUUUGUUGAAGGAUAGUGUUGUUGAGAAUUAUUGAGAAUUCUAAAUCCCUUACCUAAAUUCAAGAGUGAAUUUCUGAAUAAAUAUGUGAUCAUUUCAACUGUCUAGCACCUCAACAAGAAGAUCUGACAUCUCAAAUGAGCUUCAGAAACAGCUCAUCAAGGCUACAUUUAUGCAUGCUUUACAAGGCAUCAGGAAAAGUACAUCUCUUUCAUCCCUUGUGAGCAUAGGUUUGAAAUCCACUACAAAGAGAUCAACACUAAGAUUUUUUGAGUUGAAAGUUGAAAGGAAACCCGACUUGUUUUUAACUGUCAUACGUUUUUAAGAAAUAAAGCAAGAAUUUCAAUGUAACUAAA